This 3613-nucleotide ribosomal RNA is filed under the name Paenibacillus lutrae. RNAcentral's name for it is "23S ribosomal RNA". It matches the Rfam family "Bacterial large subunit ribosomal RNA". Lineage: Bacteria; Bacillati; Bacillota; Bacilli; Caryophanales; Paenibacillaceae. The record is from RNAcentral.
UGGUCAAGCUAAUAAGGGCACACGGAGGAUGCCUAGGCGCUAGGAGCCGAAGAAGGACGUGGCGAACGACGAAAUGCCUCGGGGAGCCGUAAGCAGGCUUUGAUCCGGGGAUGUCCGAAUGGGGGAACCCAGCUGUGGUAAUGCGCAGUUACCAUGCAGUGAAUACAUAGCUGCAUUGGAGGCACACCCAGGGAACUGAAACAUCUAAGUACCUGGAGGAAAAGAAAACAAUAGUGAUUCCGUCAGUAGCGGCGAGCGAACGCGGAUUAGCCCAAACCAGAGGGCUUGCUCUCUGGGGUUGUGGGGCGUCGAUAUGGCAAAAGUUCAUUAGGUGAAGUGAUCUGGAAAGGUCCGCUGGAAGAGGUAACAGCCCUGUAGCCGAAAGUGAACGUAUGCCUAGACCCACCCCGAGUACGGCGGGACACGUGAAACCCCGUCGGAAUCCGGCAGGACCAUCUGCCAAGGCUAAAUACUCCCUAGCGACCGAUAGUGAAGCAGUACCGUGAGGGAAAGGUGAAAAGCACCCCGGGAGGGGAGUGAAAUAGAACCUGAAACCGUGUGCCUACAAGAAGUCAGAGCCCGUUAAUGGGUGAUGGCGUGCCUUUUGUAGAAUGAACCGGCGAGUUACGUUCACGUGCGAGGUUAAGUUGAAAAGACGGAGCCGCAGCGAAAGCGAGUCUGAAUAGGGCGACUAUAGUACGUGGGCGUAGACCCGAAACCGUGUGAUCUACCCCUGUCCAGGGUGAAGGUGCGGUAACACGCACUGGAGGCCCGAACCCACGCAUGUUGAAAAAUGCGGGGAUGAGGUGGGGGUAGCGGAGAAAUUCCAAUCGAACUCGGAGAUAGCUGGUUCUCCCCGAAAUAGCUUUAGGGCUAGCCUCGGGGGAUGUGUCGUGGAGGUAAAGCACUGAUUGGGUGCGGGGCCCGCCAAGGGUUACCAAGUCCAGUCAAACUCUGAAUGCCACAGACAUUACCCCGGGAGUCAGACAGUGAGUGCUAAGAUCCAUUGUCAAGAGGGAAACAGCCCAGAUCAUCAGCUAAGGUCCCCAAGUGUGUGUUAAGUGGGAAAGGAUGUGGAGUUGCACAGACAACCAGGAUGUUGGCUUAGAAGCAGCCACCAUUUAAAGAGUGCGUAAUAGCUCACUGGUCGAGUGACUCUGCGCCGAAAAUGUAACGGGGCUAAACACACCACCGAAGCUAUGACUUGCAUCUAUGAUGCAUGGGUAGGGGAGCGUUCUGUACGGAUUGAAGGUAGAUCGUGAGGACUGCUGGACUGUACAGAAGUGAGAAUGCCGGUAUGAGUAACGAAAAGAUCAGUGAGAAUCUGAUCCGCCGAAAGCCUAAGGGUUCCUGAGGAAGGUUCGUCCGCUCAGGGUAAGUCGGGACCUAAGGCGAGGCCGAAAGGCGUAGUCGAAGGACAACAGGUUGAAAUUCCUGUACCACCGUAAGCCGUUAUGAGCAAUGGAGUGACGCAGCAGGGUAGGGACGCGGACUGAUGGAUGUCCGUCCAAGCAGUGAGGCUGAUGUGUAGGCAAAUCCGCACAUCNUCCGCCGAAAGCCUAAGGGUUCCUGAGGAAGGUUCGUCCGCUCAGGGUAAGUCGGGACCUAAGGCGAGGCCGAAAGGCGUAGUCGAAGGACAACAGGUUGAAAUUCCUGUACCACCGUAAGCCGUUACGAGCAAUGGAGUGACGCAGCAGGGUAGGGACGCGGACUGAUGGAUGUCCGUCCAAGCAGUGAGGCUGAUGUGUAGGCAAAUCCGCACAUCGUAAGGCUGGGCUGUGAUGGGGAGCGAAAAUUACAGUAGCGAAGGUCUUGAUCUCACACUGCCAAGAAAAGCUUCUAGCCAGGCGAAGGUGCCCGUACCGCAAACCGACACAGGUGGGCGAGAAGAGANAUGGAGUGACGCAGCAGGGUAGGGACGCGGACUGAUGGAUGUCCGUCCAAGCAGUGAGGCUGAUGUGUAGGCAAAUCCGCACAUCAUAAGGCUGGGCUGUGAUGGGGAGCGAAAAUUACAGUAGCGAAGGUCUUGAUCUCACACUGCCAAGAAAAGCUUCUAGCCAGGCGAAGGUGCCCGUACCGCAAACCGACACAGGUGGGCGAGAAGAGAAUUCUAAGGCGCGCGGAAGAACUCUCGUUAAGGAACUCGGCAAAAUGACCCCGUAACUUCGGGAGAAGGGGUGCCCCGGUAGUGUGAAUAGCACGAGGGGGCCGCAGUGAAAAGGCCCAAGCGACUGUUUAGCAAAAACACAGGUCUAUGCGAAGCCGUAAGGCGAAGUAUAUGGGCUGACGCCUGCCCGGUGCUGGAAGGUUAAGGGGAGCGGUUAGGAGCAAUCCGAAGCUGUGAACCGAAGCCCCAGUAAACGGCGGCCGUAACUAUAACGGUCCUAAGGUAGCGAAAUUCCUUGUCAGGUAAAUUCUGACCCGCACGAAUGGCGUAACGACUUGGGCGCUGUCUCAACNACGAGGGGGCCGCAGUGAAAAGGCCCAAGCGACUGUUUAGCAAAAACACAGGUCUAUGCGAAGCCGUAAGGCGAAGUAUAUGGGCUGACGCCUGCCCGGUGCUGGAAGGUUAAGGGGAGCGGUUAGGGGUAACCCGAAGCUGUGAACCGAAGCCCCAGUAAACGGCGGCCGUAACUAUAACGGUCCUAAGGUAGCGAAAUUCCUUGUCAGGUAAAUUCUGACCCGCACGAAUGGCGUAACGACUUGGGCGCUGUCUCAACGAGAGAUCCGGUGAAAUUUUAAUACCUGUGAAGAUGCAGGUUACCCGCGACAAGACGGAAAGACCCCAUGGAGCUUUACUGCAGCUUGAUAUUGGACUUUGGUACGAUCUGUACAGGAUAGGUGGGAGCCUUUGAAGCCUGAGCGCCAGCUUGGGUGGAGGUGCCGUUGGGAUACCACCCUGAUCGUAUCGGAGUUCUAACCUGCUACCGUCUAACCGGUAGAGGGACCGUGUCAGGUGGGCAGUUUGACUGGGGCGGUCGCCUCCUAAAGAGUAACGGAGGCGCCCAAAGGUUCCCUCAGAAUGGUUGGAAAUCAUUCGAAGAGUGCAAAGGCAUAAGGGAGCUUGACUGCGAGACAUACAGGUCGAGCAGGGACGAAAGUCGGGCUUAGUGAUCCGGUGGUACCGCAUGGAAGGGCCAUCGCUCAACGGAUAAAAGCUACCCUGGGGAUAACAGGCUUAUCUCCCCCAAGAGUCCACAUCGACGGGGAGGUUUGGCACCUCGAUGUCGGCUCAUCGCAUCCUGGGGCUGAAGUAGGUCCCAAGGGUUGGGCUGUUCGCCCAUUAAAGCGGUACGCGAGCUGGGUUCAGAACGUCGUGAGACAGUUCGGUCCCUAUCUGUCGCGGGCGCAGGAAAUUUGAGAGGAGCUGUCCUUAGUACGAGAGGACCGGGAUGGACGUACCGCUGGUGUACCAGUUGUCUCGCCAGAGGCAUAGCUGGGUAGCUAUGUACGGAAGGGAUAAGCGCUGAAAGCAUCUAAGCGUGAAGCCCCCCUCAAGAUGAGAUUUCCCAGUAUGUAAGACCCCUUGAAGACGACGAGGUAGAUAGGUUGGAGGUGGAAGCACAGCAAUGUGUGGAGCUGACCAAUACUAAUCGGUCGAGGGCUUGACCUA